Molecule: ribosomal RNA, 541 nt
Filed under: uncultured Pseudozyma
Lineage: Eukaryota; Fungi; Basidiomycota; Ustilaginomycetes; Ustilaginales; Ustilaginaceae
Description: eukaryotic LSU rRNA
Rfam family: Eukaryotic large subunit ribosomal RNA
Source: RNAcentral
GCGUGCGCAUUGUAAUCUCAAGAAGUGUUUUCCGCUUCGGACCAAGCCUAAGUCCCCUGGAAAGGGGCAUCAUAGAGGGUGAUAAUCCCGUACAUGGCUUGGAGCGCCCGAGGCUUUGUGAUACGCUUUCUAAGAGUCGAGUUGUUUGGGAAUGCAGCUCAAAAUGGGUGGUAAAUGCCAUCUAAGGCUAAAUAUUGGGGAGAGACCGAUAGCGAACAAGUACAGUGAUGGAAAGAUGAAAAGAACUUUGAAAAGAGAGUUAAACAGUACGUGAAAUUGCCAAAAGGGAAGGGUAGGAGGUCAGAGAUGCGGCCUGGGAUUCAGCCUUGCUUUUGCUUGGUGUUUUUCCCAGAUUGCAGGCCAACGUCGGUUUUGGGCACUGGAGAAGGGUAGGAGGAACGUGGCACCCCUCGGGGUGUGUUAUAGCCUCCUACUGGAUACAGCGACCGAGACCGAGGACAGCAGCGUACUCGCAAGAGCGGGCCUUCGGGCACCUUUACGCUUAGGGCGUUGGCAUAAUGGCCCUCUACCACCCGUCUUG